This is a long non-coding RNA of Aphis gossypii (cotton aphid), 5508 nucleotides long. RefSeq lists it as uncharacterized. The record is from RefSeq and is a predicted model, not a curated record. Lineage: Eukaryota; Metazoa; Arthropoda; Insecta; Hemiptera; Aphididae. The transcript is spliced from 3 exons.
UAUAGGGCCCCCUAAAUUUAAUAUAAAAUUGUCAACCCCCCCCCCUCAAUCAAAAUCAUUAAUUAUUUUUUCUUAAUAAUAUAUUAAAUUUACAUGCACUAUUUCACAAAAAUAAAUUAUUAAAAUGUAAUGAAAAAUAACUGAAUAUUCUAAAUUGAAAUAAAUUUUUCAAUGCCCCUCAGUCAUUUAGACACGGCCCCCAGGUUGAAAAGCACUGAACUAACGUAUAUAGGUGUAUAGAGUUGUUAUAAUGCAAUAUUUUAAGUGCAUUAUUACAUAACCCGAAAUCCAAUAAAUGGUGAUUUUUUUUUUUUUAGCACGCGGUUCAAUAUAUUAUAGACUAUUCUAAUAUCGUUUCUGGCAUCUUAUAUUCUCAGUAGUUAGUAGUUGCUCGCAAAGUUGCAUUUAUACAUUUAUAACAUCUGUAACGAACGAUUAUUUACCAAAUAUAUUUUGUGAAAUAUUUGGUUUUGGACUCGGUGAACAAUAACAAACGUGAUAAACUAAUAACUAUAUAAUAAAAUAUAAUGAUAAAAACAAUAGAAGUAAUAAUUAAAAAUUAUUUUUAGUUUUUGCGUUUCAUUCAUUGCAUGUGCAACCACUAUACUUAUCAACAAAAAACAUUUAUUACGUAAAUAUUCUGAUCAUAAUCACGCACUUGAAGCAGCUAGGAUUGAUGUAUGUACUAAUUUUAGUAAUUUAAAAUAUCACACACGAAAUACCAACCCUACCAAAUUAUUCAAAGUUACGUUACAAAUAUGCCAAGUACUGAUCAUCCAUACAUGCCAAGUAGGAAUGCUCUACGGCAUCAAAUAAAGCGUGUUAGAAGAAAAAAUACGCCAUCUCAUUUUCAAUCAUUAGAAGAUCUAACAAUUCCCGAUUCACUGAGAACUACAAUUGGUGGGGAGUUAUUUUUAAUUAAAGAUUUAAUCAUUAAUGAUGAAAAACUUCUACUAUUUUGUACUAAAAAUAAUAUUCAUCGACUGUCGCAUACUUGUUAUUUAAUUAUGGAUGGUACUUUUUGGACAGUCCUGACAAUAUUUAGACAUCUAUAUACCAUACAUGCACCUGUAAGGGGAGACAAUUUUCAAGUUUUGCCACUAGCAUAUGCUUUAAUGUCAUAAAAAUCUGAAACCCUGUAUACACGUCUUUUUCAAGACUUAAUUGAUUUUUGCGAAGAUAAUGGUGGGCAACUAAAUCCAUAUUGGAUAAUGACAGAUUUUGAACAGGCUGCAAUAAAGGAAUCAAAAGCAGAGUUUCCUAACGUGAAAAACAAAGCAUUUUUUUUUAAUUUAUCCCAAAGUACUUGGAGAAAAAUUCAAUCAUCUAGAUUUGUGAAUUUAUAUGGUACAAACGAAGAGUUAAGUUUUUAAAAUAAGACAAAUGCUUGCCCUGGCUUUUAUUCCACCUAACGAUACAUCUGCAGCAUUUGAUGAACUUAAAAGGAUAUUUCUUCCUGAAGCUAAAGAAGUUGUCCAAUAGUUCGAAGACAAUUAUGUACAUAUGUACAUGGCCGGAUUCGUCGACAAAACCAAAGAAAUAGUACUGUUAUACGCACAGACCCACUUUUUCCACCCAAACUUUGGUCUAUGUCAGAAUUAAUGGACAAUGGAAUUUCUAGGACAUAAAAUACUAUCGAAGCUUGACAUCGACGUUGGUCAACUUUGGUUGGUAAACCUCAUGUUGGAAUAUAUACAAUGAUCGAGGAGCUUCAGAAAAAAUAACAAAGAUUUGACUUAGAAAAUUAAAAUAUUAAUCGUGAAGAACCAAAACCAAAACAGAAGAAACAAACAAUUGACAGAGAGAAAAGAAUAAUGACUGUAUAUAAAGAUAGAUCAAAUAGGAGUGUCUUAGAUUUUUACGGGGUUUGGCUCAUAAUAUAUCGAUGUAGUUUUAUACUUUUUUUUUGUUCAAUGACGAUCAGCGGUCACAUAUGCCGAAUAUAUUAUAAAAUUAUUAAAUAAUGAUUGACGAAUAUAAUAGUAUAAAUAUAAUGUAAUUGUAGUAUAAUGUAUUGUUUGAGUUUUUAAAUAAAAAUUGUUGAAUAAUGAACAUGAUAAUAUUACGUAAAUAUAUUUGAUCGGUAUUGUGAUUUGUCGGGAUUUUAAACUGUCGGUAUUGUGAUUUAUCGGGAUUUUAAACUCUCGGUAUUAUGAUUUGUCGGGAUUUUACAUGUUGGGAUUACAUUAGUCGGGAUUUCAACCCAGACCCGAAUUUCAUAGUUAUAGCCACAGCGGUUUUGGCUUGGUGGUUUUUUCUAUUUUUAUAAUUUUCAACCCUUUUAACCCUUUUAGGGGUUGAAUUUUCAAAAAUUCUUUCUUAGCUGAUACUUACAUCAUAAUAGCUAUCUGUAUGAAAAAUUUCAGCGCGAUUUGUCCAAUGGUUUGAGCUGUGCGUUGAUAGAUCAGUCAAUCAGCUUACUGUUUUAUAUAUACAGAUAGGUACCUACAUGUAUGUAGAAAAACCAAAUGACGUAAAUUCACAUAAAAUAAAAUAAAAAAUAAUUUCUGUACAUUUCAAAUGAUUAUAUUCUGAUAGUAGCAUAAUGUAUGUGAUUUAGGUAAACUUUGUUUUAUGAAAAAUGUAUUGAAACCAGUUUUCAUGUAUGAUACGGUCGUUCAAUGUAGUUCGAUUUAGUUCGAGCUUAAAUGUUUUCAAAAUAUUUAUUUUAAAAUUCAAAUUACUGUUUAACAUUGGUAUUUUAAUUCUUAUGAAGACAUUCAUUAAAAUCUAAGAGUACUAAAGAUAUUUUUUUAUUAUAACGUAAGUAUAUGUAGGUACAUAUUGCUAGGUAAAACUGAAAGUCACUAUCAUUGAACGUUACUGUCAUCAAAUUUUUGAUUAAUGCUACUCGUAUAUAUUAAAAACAGCAUAAUAUACUUAUUUUAUCAUAUAUUGUACAAUAUAAAAUCAAACACACUACAUUACGAUAUAAGAUUGGGCGUUGUUUAGCUAUUAUUGUUGCGCUUAUUUAUGAGAACCAAUGUAUAGAUAUAUUGUCUAUAUAAUAAGCGAUUCUGUGUGUAUAAUAUUAUUAUUAUUAUUAUUUUGCAAUGUGAAAAAAAUAUACCUCUACGACUUCUCUAAUUAUAAUAGCAUAUUAUAUUAUGCUUGGUAUAAUAAAUAUUUGUUAGCACGCAAUGUUGUAAUAUACACAAUUGCUAUUUUAUACGUCGUCAAUCAAUAUCAAUGAACUAUAUAUUAUUUACAUAAACCUACUACCUAGAUAGGUAUAUAUAAUGUGUAUUGGGCGUGCGCUUUGUACCUAAAUAUAAUAUUACCUGUAUAUGUGUGUGUGUGUGUGUGUGUGUGUGUGUGUGUGUGUGUGUGUGUGUGUGUGUGUGUGUGUGUGUGUGUGUGUGUGUGUGUGUGUGGUGUAUUCAACGUUCAAUUCUUUAACCGAUGUGUAGUUAGAAAAAAUAUGAUAUACCUAUAGUUUAAUACCGGUCGGUUUUAACUGUGAAUCGAGCAAGGCGUUUUUAGAUAAUCCAGUAAAUUUCGUUUAAUAACGAAGCAGCAAACAAUAAAUGUAUAAUUAUUCAAGAGGUCAUGCUGUAACAAAAUACCAAGGUUUGCAAAAAUCCGAGACUAAAUAAUUAUGCUUCGAGAGCACAUAUCAGGUACUUGCAUUUAUAUAUUCAAGCGUUUGAAGUCGAGGAUGGAAGCAUCUAUUCGAAAAAUGUCAACCUACAUUAGAAAAGAACAAAGAGAUGAGCACUAACUCUUUUAGAAAGUAUCAAUUAAUCAAGACUAUUAUUAUAGUUAUCUUAUUACAUUGCACAUACAUAUUUAUAUGUCUUUAUAUUGUAUAACAGUAUAUGUACCGUUUGAAGUAUUUUGUGACGACGUGCGGUUAUUUGACAAGAAUUGAAAAUAAUUUUAUAUGUAAAUAUUAUAUAAUAAAUGUGGUAGCCAUAUGCAUAUUAAAAUUUAAUUUAUCCACUGAGGUAUAGAAAAAUGAAAUAUUAUAGAUUCUAAGACAUGGUGAUUUGAUAUGACUCGUCUAAAAAGAAAGGAAUUACAAUAAUGUUUUGAUUGUUGGGAGAAUAAAAAAGAGGGUGUGCUCCAUUAUUAUAUAUAUUAUUAUUUUUAUUGUAAUACUAGCUGACCCCGUGUACUUCGUUGCCGUUAAAAAUGUCAAUUCUAUAAUAUAAUUUGAAUUUUGAUUAAUUUGUUAUUUAAUAUUUGGUUUAACGAUGUUCAAAACUUGGAUAUUUCCAUUGACCAUUUUGUUUCUCAAAAAACUUGUACAAUAACCACUUUAAAAUGCUUUCUAUUAUUUCACACUAAAUUUGUGGUAGGAUUGUACGAAUGUACCGUGUAAGUUACAAGCCUCGAACUAUCAUUGUUCAUGCUCUACGUUUAUCAGUCAGUGAGUUAGUCAGGUAAUAAUAUUAUAGUCAUUCCGUUUAGAGUUGCUUAUGAGACUUUCUUAUGAUUAUGCAUGCAGUAUAUUAUCAGGUAGGCAAUCCACCUGUGGUGGAUUGCGGAACUCGCGAGAUGUGUACGUAAGCUUAUAAUUUCUAACCCUUAAGUUUCAAAGUUAUAUCAUUUUUUUUUCUUACUACGGUGGAUAAAUUACAAUAAUGCGCCAUAUCGUGGUUUUUUUUUUUUUUUUUUAUUGAUCACAAAAAUAACAUCAACAACAAAGGCCAUUAGUUUAUCGAGGUUUUAUAUAGUUGCCUGUUCAUAAAUAAUAUAAUUUGGUAUAACUUGUUAUGUUAGUCUAUUGCUGUGAUUUUUAAAUUUACGGUGGAAAUUGACCGAUUUUGCUAAUUCUUAUUUUUGUUGUUAGGGUUUUUAUAAAAUAUAACAUUAGGUCUACAACUAUUAUAUUUAAUCAUAACCAAUAGCGACCUUACAAUAAACAAAAAUAUAGUUUAUUUUCUUGCUGGACAGUGACAUCAUUGUUGAUGUUUUUUACAUCCAGAUACCGUACUUUUUUAUUGGAUUUUCCUAAAAUUGUAUUACAAUCUCAGGAACUACAUGUUUGAAUUGAUAAAUUAUUUUUGUGUUGGAUAGUCCAUUUGUCAGGAAGGCUUUUUAAGCUAUAUAACAUUUAGCUGCGACCAAUAGAAGCGAAUCAUCAGUGAAAAAUGUUGCGAAAAUGGAGAAAAUAAGAAAUAAUAAUAAUAAUAAUAAAUUGUUACCGUGGAUACCGGAAAUAAAAUAAUAAUAAUCGGUAUUUUUAAUUUUUUUUAAUUUUUCAUGCAGCUUUCUUAAUUUUUUCUUUCAUAAGAAUAUUGUUUUGAUAAUUACAAACACAACAAAAAAAAGAAUUAGAAAAAUCGGUCCAGCCAUUCACACGUGAUACCAUGACCAAGAGAUAUAUGAAUUCAUUUUUAAAUACAGAGAUUCACGAUGUGUACUGCGUGGGACUUCGACUACAUAAUUAAUAAAAUGCCAAAUAAUUUGUUGAACUUAUUCUAAAUGGGUUCCUGUGCUACUUUUGAUGAAUAACAAUUAUAAAAUAAUUAUUGAAAUUAUAUUUAUUUAUUUUUAAUCUUA